UACGUAGGGUGCAAGCGUUGUCCGGAAUUAUUGGGCGUAAAGAGCUCGUAGGCGGUUUGUCGCGUCUGCUGUGAAAAUCCAGGGCUUAACCCUGGACCUGCAGUGGGUACGGGCAGACUGGAGUGCGGUAGGGGAGAUCGGAAUUCCGGGUGUAGCGGUGGAAUGCGUAGAGAUCCGGAAGAACACCGGUGGCGAAGGCGGCCUGCUGGGCAGUUGCUGACACUGAGGCGCGACAGCGUGGGGAGCAAACAGG
This 253-nucleotide ribosomal RNA is filed under the name uncultured bacterium. RNAcentral describes it as "partial 16S ribosomal RNA". It matches the Rfam family "Bacterial small subunit ribosomal RNA", at positions 524 to 776 of the family's 1533-position model. The record is from RNAcentral.